This is a long non-coding RNA of Folsomia candida, 1281 nucleotides long. RefSeq lists it as uncharacterized. The record is from RefSeq and is a predicted model, not a curated record. NCBI's taxonomy places the organism in Eukaryota, Metazoa, Arthropoda, Collembola, Entomobryomorpha, Isotomidae. The transcript is spliced from 3 exons.
CUCGAUAAUCAUCUCCACAUUUUUUAACACUACGUUCUGUAAAAAUUGAAAUAUUUUUUAACUCAAGCCAGAUUUAAGAAAACCUGAAAAGUAUCCAACGUCGCAUAAAUAUUGGUAGAUUAUUUAAACAAGAAGUCCGAAGCGUUAAUAUUUAUUUUUAAAAUGAGGCACCUCUUAGGAUUAGUUUUCCUGAUUAUAAAUGUGACGGCAAGUGACAUCGAUAUGGCGACAAAAUUUAAAUUGUUUAAUCCAGCAUUUACGGACAGUAAAACGGGUGAAAUAUUGUGUAACGGACGAACCGCUGUUGUAACCCAAACAACGAAAUCUUUGAAGAAUGAGAAUUGUUGGGACUUUAUCAAUUUCCCGAGUUCGAUGUGCAUACGAGUGUCGCAAAUAACGCACAAGAUUUUCUCAGUGAUCGAGCUGCAAGGUUGGGAUUCCGUCCAGCUUUUUGAAUCGGAAGACUGCUCAGGGAAGGCUCACUUAAUCACGAAGAACCCGAUCGUGAGGAGCAAACUCUUCAAAGCCCAGGAAAUAAAAAACAAAUUUCUGGAAAUGCAAGGUGCCACCUUUUCGAUCAGUCGGUGGAGCAUCAUUUGUUCCCGAUAAUUUAAGCUUAGAUGAUGAAAUUGAGACUUGCACCCCAAAGGAGGAGCGUGUGACGCUUCUGGCCAUUGAUAACACGGACCGGACAGACCCCAUCCAGGCCUCAUUCACAUAUCGGCCCAGAUUUGCUUAUGUGCAAAAUAACACUAAUUUGGUCCCUACAAGAAAAGCUAAUGAAAAAGAGACAGGUUAUCGGGCAGGCGUUCCAGUCCAUAAAAACUUGUCGUUCAAGCAGGCAAUUAGCCUUUCCAGUAGAUUUUCAUCGACCUUGUCGAAAUUAUCGUCAUCCCAGAACGAUUGGGAGGCCAUUGAUAUAUUCGACAUUUGGCAGGACAGAACUCGAACUGGCAAGCUUGACAUUCGGGUAGGAAUCAAGACAGUAAUUGUGCAAAUCGUAGGAGUUUGUGGAAACCUUAAGGUGUACACGAAUCACUUUAUAAAACAGGAUUUCUACGCAGAUGGAACAAAAUUUGUGGGUAAUGUUAGAUUUACGUAACCAAUUUCAAUUUUGUUCACGUACUAGUAAUUUGUUACACCUCUUCGCGAUGGAUAUAAUGCCAGAAUAUUAAAUAGUAUGCCAUAAUAAUGUAUCAAUUAGUUUUUAUUUUACUUUUAAAUUGUAAAAAUGAGAUAUUAUUUUUUAUGAACAUUAAUUCAUAUCUAAUUUGAGAUAAA